GACGAACGCUGGCGGCGUGCCUAAUACAUGCAAGUAGAACGCUGAAGAGAGGAGCUUACUCUUCUUGGAUGAGUUGCGAACGGGUGAGUAACGCGUAGGUAACCUGCCUUGUAGCGGGGGAUAACUAUUGGAAACGAUAGCUAAUACCGCAUAACAAUGGGUGACACAUGUCAUUUAUUUGAAAGGGGCAAUUGCUCCACUACAAGAUGGACCUGCGUUGUAUUAGCUAGUAGGUGAGGUAAUGGCUCACCUAGGCGACGAUACAUAGCCGACCUGAGAGGGUGGUCGGCCACACUGGGACGGAGACACGCCCCAAAAUCCUACGGGAGGCAGCAGUAGGGAAUCUUCGGCAAUGGGGGCAACCCUGACCGAGCAACGCCGGGUGAGUGAAGAAGGUUUUCGGAUCGUAAAGCUCUGUUGUACGUCAAGAACGGGAGUGAGAGUGGAAAGUUCACACUGUGACGGUAGCUUACCAGAAAGAGACGGCUAACUACGUG
RNAcentral lists this ribosomal RNA (497 nucleotides) under uncultured bacterium. RNAcentral describes it as "partial 16S ribosomal RNA". It matches the Rfam family "Bacterial small subunit ribosomal RNA", at positions 28 to 507 of the family's 1533-position model. The record is from RNAcentral.